Ribosomal RNA from Eucalyptus grandis, 151 nucleotides. RefSeq annotates it as 5.8S ribosomal RNA. NCBI's taxonomy places the organism in Eukaryota, Viridiplantae, Streptophyta, Magnoliopsida, Myrtales, Myrtaceae. The record is from RefSeq and is a predicted model, not a curated record. The transcript has a single exon.
CUCUCUAAGAACGGGAUAUCUCGGCUCUCGCAUCGAUGAAGAACGUAGCGAACCGCGAUACUUGGUGUGAAUUGCAUCCUGAACCAUCGAGUCUUUGAACGCAAGUUGCGCCCGAAACCAUCAGUCGAGGGCACGUUGCUCCUGGGUGUCA